Molecule: ribosomal RNA, 467 nt
Filed under: uncultured bacterium
Lineage: Bacteria
Description: partial 16S ribosomal RNA
Rfam family: Bacterial small subunit ribosomal RNA
Source: RNAcentral
GACGAACGCUGGCGGCGUGCUUAACACAUGCAAGUCGAACGGAAAGGCCUCUUUCGGGGGGUACUCGAGUGGCGAACGGGUGAGUAACACGUGAGUAACCUGCCCUUGACUUUGGGAUAACUUCAGGAAACUGGGGCUAAUACCGGAUAGGAGCUCCUGCUGCAUGGUGGGGGUUGGAAAGUUUCGGCGGUUGGGGAUGGACUCGCGGCUUAUCAGCUUGUUGGUGGGGUAGUGGCUUACCAAGGCUUUGACGGGUAGCCGGCCUGAGAGGGUGACCGGCAACAUUGGGACUGAGAUACGGCCCAGACUCCUACGGGAGGAAGCAGUGGGGAAUAUUGCACAAUGGGUGGAAGCCUGAUGCAGCAACGCCGUGUGCGGGAUGACGGCCUUCGGGUUGUAAACCGCUUUCGCUCAUGACGAAGCUUUGUGUGACGGUAGUGGGUAAAGAAGCACCGGCUAACUACGUG